AGAUGUAACAACAUGUUGAUGGACAUGCUUAGACAGGUUUGAAUUUUACAUGUACAUACUUGUGAAAGCCAGUGGAAAAUGAAAAAUGUGAGUAGUCUUCCCAUGCACCCAUAAAAAGUUUUUCAAGUUCAAAAAAGGAAAUGGAAAUAACAGCGGUUUUCAUAUUUCCAACUUUCAGUCUGUACAUUCAAAUUUCAUUGAUGAUGUUUUACACAUUGCGAGUACUCCAUAGCCUUGUGUUUAAAAUUUUUAGCUUGUUAUACCCCCACAAAACGAAGUUUGGGGGGUGUAUAUAUGAGUGAGCUUGGCGGUCGGUCGAUCUGUUGGUUUUGCAUGGUUUCCGGAUGAUAACUCAAGAAAGGCUUGACCAAUUUAAAUAAUUUUUGGUACACAGGUGUAACAUCAAAAAAUACAGGUCAAAUUUGAAUUUGGGGUCAGUAGGUCAAAGAUCAAGGUCACAGUGACCCUGAACAGUUAAACGGUUUCCGGAUGAUAACUUGAGAAUGAUUGGGCCUAGGAUCAUAAAUUUUGGUACACAGAUGUAACAUCAUGAAAUGCAGGUCAAGUUCGACUUUGAGGUCUGUAGGUCAAAGGUCAAGGUCACAGGGACUCGGAACAGUUAAAUGGUUUCCGGAUGGUAACUUGAGAACGCUUGGGCCUAGGAUCAUAAAUUUUGGUACACAGGUGUAACAUCAUGAAAUACAGGUCAAGUACUACUUUGAGGUCAGUAGGUCAAAGGUCAAGGUCACAGUGACUUGGAACAGUUAAAUGGUUUCCGGAUGAUCACUUGAGAAUGCUUGGGCCUAGGAUCAUGAAAAUUGAUAGGGAGGUUGGUUAUGACUAGCAGAUGAC
Mercenaria mercenaria is the source of this 852-nucleotide long non-coding RNA. RefSeq lists it as uncharacterized. NCBI's taxonomy places the organism in Eukaryota, Metazoa, Mollusca, Bivalvia, Venerida, Veneridae. The record is from RefSeq and is a predicted model, not a curated record. The transcript is spliced from 2 exons.